Molecule: ribosomal RNA, 844 nt
Filed under: uncultured archaeon
Lineage: Archaea
Description: bacterial SSU rRNA
Rfam family: Archaeal small subunit ribosomal RNA
Source: RNAcentral
CCAGAGGCCAUUGCUAUCAGGGUUUGACUAAGCCAUGCGAGUCGAGAGGUGUAAGACCUCGGCAUACUGCUCAGUAACACGUGGUUAACCUGCCCUAAGGUGGAGAAUACUCCCGGGAAACUGGGGCUAAUGCUCCAUAGUGGAUAUGUCCUGGAAUGGUAUAUCCUCGAAAGAUCCGUCGCCUUAGGAUGGGACUGCGUCCGAUUAGGUUGUUGGCGGGGUAACGGCCCACCAAGCCAUUGAUCGGUACGGGUUGUGGGAGCAAGAUCCCGGAGAUGGAUUCUGAGACAUGAAUCCAGGCCCUACGGGGCGCAGCAGGCGCGCAAACUUUACAAUGCGAGCAAUCGUGAUAAGGAAACCCUGAGUGCCUGUCGAUGCAGGCUGUUCAUAUAUCUAAAUCAUAUGUGAAGAAAGGGCAGGGCAAGACCGGUGCCAGCCGCCGCGGUAAUACCGGCUGCUCGAGUGAUGGCCACUAUUACUGGGUUUAAAGCGUCCGUAGCUUGACUGUUAGGUCUCUUGGGAAAUCUUCACGCUCAACGUGAAGGCGUCUAAGAGAUACCGGCAGUCUUGGAACUGGGAGAGGUAAACCGUACUUCGGGGGUAGGAGUGAAAUCUUGUAAUCCUCGAGGGACGACCUAUGGCGAAGGCAGUUUACCAGAACAGCUUCGACAGUGAGGGACGAAAGCUGGGGGAGCAAACGGGAUUAGAUACCCCAGUAGUCCCAGCCGUAAACAAUGUGCGUUAGGUGUGUCGGUAACCACGUGUUACUGAUGCGCCGAAGAGAAAUCGUGAAACGCACCACCUGGGAAGUACGGUCGCAAGGCUGAAACUUAAAGGAAUUGGC